GUUGGAAACGACUGCUAAUACCGCAUAAGCGCACAGUACCGCAUAGUACCGUGUGAAAAACUCCGGUGGUAUGAGAUGGACCCGCGUCUGAUUAGCUAGUUGGUGGGGUAACGGCCUACCAAGGCGACGAUCAGUGGCCGACCUGAGAGGGUGACCGGCCACAUUGGGACUGAGACACGGCCCAAACUCCUACGGGAGGCAGCAGUGGGGAAUAUUGCACAAUGGGGGAAACCCUGAUGCAGCAACGCCGCGUGAGUGAAGAAGUAUUUCGGUAUGUAAAGCUCUAUCAGCAGGGAAGAAAAUGACGGUACCUGACUAAGAAGCCCCGGCUAACUACGUGCCAGCAGCCGCGGUAAUACGUAGGGGGCAAGCGUUAUCCGGAUUUACUGGGUGUAAAGGGAGCGUAGACGGCGAGACAAGUCUGAAGUGAAAGCCCGGGGCUCAACCCCGGGACUGCUUUGGAAACUGCCUUGCUAGAGUGCUGGAGAGGUAAGUGGAAUUCCUAGUGUAGCGGUGAAAUGCGUAGAUAUUAGGAGGAACACCAGUGGCGAAGGCGGCUUACUGGACAGUAACUGACGUUGAGGCUCGAAAGCGUGGGGAGCAAACAGGAUUAGAUACCCUGGU
RNAcentral lists this ribosomal RNA (624 nucleotides) under uncultured bacterium. Its description in RNAcentral is "bacterial SSU rRNA". It matches the Rfam family "Bacterial small subunit ribosomal RNA", at positions 149 to 791 of the family's 1533-position model. The record is from RNAcentral.